AUUACUCACUUCGUUCCAAAA
RNAcentral lists this microRNA (21 nucleotides) under Corchorus capsularis. RNAcentral describes it as "sRNA CCACVL1_27722". Lineage: Eukaryota; Viridiplantae; Streptophyta; Magnoliopsida; Malvales; Malvaceae. The record is from RNAcentral.